Molecule: ribosomal RNA, 465 nt
Filed under: uncultured bacterium
Lineage: Bacteria
Description: partial 16S ribosomal RNA
Rfam family: Bacterial small subunit ribosomal RNA
Source: RNAcentral
GACGAACGCUGGCGGCGUGCUUAACACAUGCAAGUCGAACGGAAAGGCCCUGCUUGCAGGGUACUCGAGUGGCGAACGGGUGAGUAACACGUGGGUGAUCUGCCCUGCACUUCGGGAUAAGCCUGGGAAACUGGGUCUAAUACCGGAUAGGAGCCAUUUUUAGUGUGAUGGUUGGAAAGUUUUUUCGGUGUAGGAUGAGCUCGCGGCCUAUCAGCUUGUUGGUGGGGUAAUGGCCUACCAAGGCGGCGACGGGUAGCCGGCCUGAGAGGGUGGACGGCCACAUUGGGACUGAGAUACGGCCCAGACUCCUACGGGAGGCAGCAGUGGGGAAUAUUGCACAAUGGGCGCAAGCCUGAUGCAGCGACGCCGCGUGGGGGAGGACGGCCUUCGGGUUGUAAACGCCUUUCGCUAAGGACGAAGCUUUUUGUGACGGUACCUAGAUAAGAAGCACCGGCUAACUACGUG